CACGACUCUCGGCAACGGAUAUCUUGGCUCUUGCAUCGAUGAAGAACGUAGCGAAAUGCCGAUACUUGGUGUGAAUUGCAGAAUCCCGUGAACCAUCGAGUCUUUGAACGCAAGUUGCGCCCGAGACCWUUAGGUUGAGGGCACACCUGCUUGGGCGUCAUGC
Molecule: ribosomal RNA, 163 nt
Filed under: Asarum yakusimense
Lineage: Eukaryota; Viridiplantae; Streptophyta; Magnoliopsida; Piperales; Asaraceae
Description: 5.8S rRNA
Rfam family: 5.8S ribosomal RNA
About the family: 5.8S ribosomal RNA (5.8S rRNA) is a component of the large subunit of the eukaryotic ribosome. It is transcribed by RNA polymerase I as part of the 45S precursor that also contains 18S and 28S rRNA.
Source: RNAcentral